CUACGGGAGGCAGCAGUGAGGAAUAUUGCACAAUGGGGGGAACCCUGAUGCAGCAACGCCGCGUGGAGGAUGACGCAUUUCGGUGUGUAAACUCCUUUUAUAUGUCAAGAAAAUGACGGUAGCAUAUGAAUAAGCACCGGCUAACUCCGUGCCAGCAGCCGCGGUAAUAUGGGAGGGGCAAGCGUUACUAGGAAUCACUGGGCGUAAAGGACGCGUAGGCGGGUUGGAAAGUCAGGUGUGAAAUCCUACAGCUUAACUGUAGAACUGCACUUGAAACUUCUAAUCUAGAGUAUGGGAGGGGGAGAUGGAAUUAGUGGUGUAGGGGUAAAAUCCGUAGAUAUCACUAGGAAUACCUAAAGCGAAGGCGAUCUCCUGGAACAUUACUGACGCUAAGGCGUGAAAGCGUGGGGAGCAAACAGGAUUAGAUACCCUGGUAGUC
This 439-nucleotide ribosomal RNA is filed under the name uncultured bacterium. RNAcentral describes it as "partial 16S ribosomal RNA". It matches the Rfam family "Bacterial small subunit ribosomal RNA", at positions 339 to 795 of the family's 1533-position model. The record is from RNAcentral.